CCCAGACUCCUACGGGAGGCAGCAGUGGGGGAUAUUGCACAAUGGGGGAAACCCUGAUGCAGCAACGCCGCGUGAGUGAAGAAGGUCUUCGGAUUGUAAAGCUCUGUUCUUGGUGAAGAUAAUGACGGUAGCCAAGGAGAAAGCUCCGGCUAACUACGUGCCAGCAGCCGCGGUAAUACGGAGGAUGCGAGCGUUAUCCGGAUUUAUUGGGUUUAAAGGGUGCGCAGGCGGAAUGUCAAGUCAGCGGUAAAAUUUCGGGGCUCAACCCCGUCGUGCCGUUGAAACUGGCGUUCUUGAGUGAGCGAGAAGUAUGCGGAAUGCGUGGUGUAGCGGUGAAAUGCAUAGAUAUCACGCAGAACUCCGAUUGCGAAGGCAGCAUACCGGCGCUCAACUGACGCUCAUGCACGAAAGCGUGGGUAUCGAACAGGAUUAGAUACCCCCGUAUCC
This 447-nucleotide ribosomal RNA is filed under the name uncultured bacterium. Its description in RNAcentral is "bacterial SSU rRNA". It matches the Rfam family "Bacterial small subunit ribosomal RNA", at positions 330 to 795 of the family's 1533-position model. The record is from RNAcentral.